GGAAGAGAGUGGUUCUUUGUCCAGUGAAUCAUCUGGAGAAAAAGUAGAGUCAAGUAGUGAGGAAGAACCAACUCCUGCAAAAGUCCCACAUCUCACCAGAUCAUCUCAUGGCCCAACAAGAAGAAGCAGUAGAAAAAUGGUGGUAGAGGAGAGUGCAUCAGACUCUGGUGAUUUUAACGAAGCUGCUAGAGCUCGACGAAAGAUCAAGUCACUUCCAGAGGAUCCCUAUCUUGUCAGCAGCAGUAAUAAUAGUAGCAACUCUAGGUCUCCACACGCUCAAAAACCUGUUGAUACUGGAUCAAGUUCCAGCAGAAAAAGAAGAAAGAACACAUCAAGUGAAUUAUUAAAAUCUAGUUUUCCAUCUGUAAUGACAUCAGACGGGAGCAUCUCAGAUUCUAGUGCAACAAGAACCACACGUAGUAAAUCAAAAAGGACCUCUGGCAGCAAUAGUACUACCAGCAGCCCUGCUUCUAGCAGCAGCUGGUGGUCUGCUACUCAGAGUGUGGAUACAUCUGGAGAGGAAUCUACAUCUUCAAGGAUCACGCGUACAAGGCACUCCAAAAAAUCUGAUACUCCACAAACUAUCAAUAAAUUGCAGACACCUAAUUUAAAAGCACAGGAAACAUCUUCCCGUAGGUCUUCAAGGAAUAGGAAGAGUAAAUAAGGCGCACACACACACACACACACACACACACACACACACACACACACACACACACACACACACACACACACACACACACACACACACACACACACACACACACACACACACACACACACACACACACACA
Molecule: long non-coding RNA, 794 nt
Organism: Scylla paramamosain (green mud crab)
Lineage: Eukaryota; Metazoa; Arthropoda; Malacostraca; Decapoda; Portunidae
Exons: 2
Source: RefSeq, a predicted model, not a curated record